GUAGGUGGCAAGCGUUGUCCGGGAAUUAUUGGGGCGUAAAGCGCGCGCAGGCGGUCCUUUAAGGUCUGAUGUGAAAGCCCACGGGCUCAACCGUGGAGGGUCAUUGGAAACUGGGGGACUUGAGUACAGAAGAGGAAAGCGGAAUUCCAAGUGUAGCGGUGAAAUGCGUAGAGAUUUGGAGGAGCACCAGUGGCGAAGGCGGCUUUCUGGUCUGUAACUGACGCUGAGGCGCGAAAGCGUGGGGAGCAAACAGGAUUAGAUACCCUGGUAGUCCACGCCGUAAACGAUGAGUGCUAAGUGUUAGGGGGUUUCCGCCCCUUAGUGCUGCAGCUAACGCAUUAAGCACUCCGCCUGGGGAGUACGGCCGCAAAGGCUGA
RNAcentral lists this ribosomal RNA (377 nucleotides) under uncultured organism. Its description in RNAcentral is "partial 16S ribosomal RNA". It matches the Rfam family "Bacterial small subunit ribosomal RNA", at positions 527 to 897 of the family's 1533-position model. The record is from RNAcentral.